RNAcentral lists this ribosomal RNA (629 nucleotides) under uncultured Pseudomonadota bacterium. RNAcentral describes it as "bacterial SSU rRNA". It matches the Rfam family "Bacterial small subunit ribosomal RNA", at positions 48 to 683 of the family's 1533-position model. Lineage: Bacteria; Pseudomonadati; Pseudomonadota. The record is from RNAcentral.
CUAACACAUGCAAGUCGAACGAGGGUAGCAAUACUCUAGUGGCGGACGGGUGAGGAAUACGUAGGAAUUUGCCCUUAAGUGGGGGAUAACCCGGGGAAACCCGGAUUAAUACCGCAUGAUCUUUUCGAAGCAAAGCCGGGGACCGCAAGGCCUGGCGCUUUUGGAGAAGCCUACGUCGGAUUAGCUAGUUGGUGAGGUAAUGGCUCACCAAGGCUGCGAUCCGUAACUGGUCUGAGAGGAUGAUCAGUCACAUCGGAACUGAGACACGGUCCGAACUCCUACGGGAGGCAGCAGUGGGGAAUAUUGGACAAUGGGCGAAAGCCUGAUCCAGCAAUACCGCGUGUGUGAAGAAGGCCUUCGGGUUGUAAAGCACUUUAGGUCGGAAAGAAAAAACUUGAGUUAAUACCUUAAGUCUUGACGGUACCGACAGAAUAAGCACCGGCUAACUCUGUGCCAGCAGCCGCGGUAAUACAGAGGGUGCAAGCGUUAAUCGGAUUUACUGGGCGUAAAGCGUGCGUAGGUGGCUGUUUAAGUCGGAUGUGAAAGCCCUGGGCUUAACCUGGGAACUGCAUUCGAUACUGGAUAGCUAGAGAUCGGUAGAGGGCAGCGGAAUUCCGGGUGUAGCGGUG